UUAACCCAAUUUUGUAUGCAGUUGGAACAGCGCCCCUAGCGGCAAACUUAGGCAAACGUUACAACUCCAUACAAAUUUGCGUUA
This 84-nucleotide microRNA precursor is filed under the name Bombyx mori (domestic silkworm). Its description in RNAcentral is "mir-2807 microRNA precursor family". It matches the Rfam family "mir-2807 microRNA precursor family". The record is from Rfam by way of RNAcentral. Lineage: Eukaryota; Metazoa; Arthropoda; Insecta; Lepidoptera; Bombycidae.